AUGAACGCUAGCUACAGGCUUAACACAUGCAAGUCGAGGGCAGCAUGAACAUAGCUUGCUAUGUUUGAUGGCGACCGGCGCACGGGUGCGUAACACGUAUCCAAUCUCGCCGUUACUCGGGGAUAGCCUUCUGAAAGGAAGAUUAAUACCCGAUAGUAUCCAUUUAGCGGCAUCGCCUAUGGAUUAAAGAUUUAUCGGUAACGGAUGAGGAUGCGUACGAUUAGCUUGUUGGCGGGGUAACGGCCCACCAAGGCGACGAUCAGUAGGGGUUCUGAGAGGAAGGUCCCCCACACUGGAACUGAGACACGGUCCAGACUCCUACGGGAGGCAGCAGUGAGGAAUAUUGGUCAAUGGGCGAGAGCCUGAACCAGCCAAGUAGCGUGCAGGAUGACGGCCCUACGGGUUGUAAACUGCUUUUAUGCGGGAAUAAAGAUAUCUACGUGUAGAUAGUUGCAUGUACCGCAUGAAUAAGGACCGGCUAAUUCCGUG
RNAcentral lists this ribosomal RNA (489 nucleotides) under uncultured bacterium. RNAcentral describes it as "bacterial SSU rRNA". It matches the Rfam family "Bacterial small subunit ribosomal RNA", at positions 29 to 507 of the family's 1533-position model. The record is from RNAcentral.